GCCUCAGCAGCGUGUUUGUUCUGUUUGUUUGUUGUUGUCCAUGGCUCGUGAGGCAGUUUGAGCAAUGGCGAUGAGGAAAACGAAAUUCAAACAGCAAGGUCCUCGGCGAGCCUUGGUGGGGCGGCACGGACUAGCGAAAACUGUUGGUGUUGCCGUUCAAGCUGGCGUUUGUUACCCUCUAGACACAUUGAAGUCGCUCCAACAGGUGUCUGCAAAUGCAGGGGACAAUGCAGGACUAAACAUUGUUGUUGAUUCGAAGAAAGGAAAAGGCGCGGGUACAUUGGCUUCUGGAAUGAGGUCAACUGUUGGAGUAACAGGGUUGUAUGGAGGAUUAGGGUGGCACGUUUUGGGGAGGUUGCCUGCGCUUGGCACGCAGUACGCUUAGAACGCUUGUUUCGGUGUGUACGAGCUAUGUUGCGCUUUCGCCACAGGUAGCUCAUACCACCACGUCGGAAACGGGUUAUCUUGGCACGAAGUUACGUCGUUGCAAAUCCAAUCCCAUCUUAAGAUGCCGAGAAAUUGUUGCAGUUUAUAGAGCUUCUCUGAUGUGGCUAUGAGAUUGGGCAAACAGGCCCACGAUUGAGGUUUGCAUUGAGUUUUUAUUUGUUUUCGAUUUGAAUUUAGAACUUGUUCGACACCUUGUUGUUAGUUGUCUCUCCAGCAUGAAUAUGCUUCUCUGUCUAUUAGACCUGCCAGCUUUGCACUGGUGAUAUUUAGUUGGGCAUUAUUGUGAAGAUAUCUUGAUUGAUUCAAAAGCUUCUCAAAGGGUUUGUGUUUUGCUUUGUUGUAUCUCAUUUCUUUUCAUUUUGAUUGAUUGUCCACUUGCUGCAGUUCUGUUGACAUGGAUUGUAUUCGGGAUCAGUGUGCUGCUGUGCUAAAUAUGGCGAUCGAUCUGCAGUUGGGCUUGACAUGAAAAAGUGGAGUUCAGGUGGGCUGAAUACAGUGAUCUGGAGUGGCAUCAAGAAAUGAAGUUGAGUUGGAACAAUGAAGUAGAGACACUCAACGUAGAAAGUGGAUGGGACUGAAUAUAGAAAAUAGGAGGAGUAUAAAGAGAGACCAGGGCAUUGGAAAGGGGUUGAGUGGCGAAAGGGAGAAUGCCAUGGGAACAAGAAAGCACUUCAGGCCCAAAAUUCCUCUACCGCAUCAUCUGCCGCAUCCUCUGCCGCAUUUUCUGCCACAUCAUCUGCCGCAUUUUCUGCCGCAUCCUCUGCCGCGUCCUCUGCCUCUGCCAGGGGCACUACCUCCCUUGGCAGACCUUCCUCCUCUGCCAGGAUUUAUACCUCCUUUUCGUUUUCGUGACCCGUUUGUUACGGAUUCGUCGACUUCCACGACGAGUGAACCGUAGACAAGAGAAGAGCUAUGCGUCAUGAGGGCGACACUUUGGGAGAUAUAAUGGAUAUGAAAUAAACUGCCUGAAAUUGAAGCCUCACGCAGCCAAUUGCUUAGAAGCUUCCUGUCUUCGGAACAAAAUAGCUAUGGAGUUAGAAGCCUCUAUCCUGGCCAUGAGGAACAUUGAUUUUCUUUGACUUUACGCAUGUUCAGAUUUAGUAAAAAUCACUUUCAGUCUUGUGGUAAAGUAGGCGUCAUUUUGAGUCUCCACCUUCCUCGCAGCUCGGCCAAGCUUCGUCGUAACGAGUUGAUGAAGUGACAGACAUGGUUCUUCAUGGUUAAUAUUGUUGUUGAAUGAGAAGGGAAUCUGGUUUAAUGUAAUGGAGUCGAUUGUUUAAGUUUCAGUUACUCAGACAUAGGAUUGUGUUCUCCUUGUAAUGUUGAAGUAAGUUAGACUGUAAUUGAAGUAGAGUUAUUGCAGAGUAUCAAGGGUCCACAGUAGAGUCUUAGACUUUUAGAUGACUUUCAGAAUUUUCGCACACAAAAAGUGCAUUAUGUUUAAUAACACUGGUUUGUUAAAAAAACAAAUCUCAAUGAUAAAAUAAAGAAAACUACCGUAUGAAAACCA
Non-coding RNA from Physcomitrium patens, 1957 nucleotides. The record is from RefSeq and is a predicted model, not a curated record. Lineage: Eukaryota; Viridiplantae; Streptophyta; Bryopsida; Funariales; Funariaceae.